RNAcentral lists this RNase P RNA (334 nucleotides) under Acholeplasmataceae bacterium. Its description in RNAcentral is "RNase P RNA component class B". It matches the Rfam family "Bacterial RNase P class B". From Rfam's summary of the family: Ribonuclease P (RNase P) is a ubiquitous endoribonuclease, found in archaea, bacteria and eukarya as well as chloroplasts and mitochondria. Its best characterised activity is the generation of mature 5'-ends of tRNAs by cleaving the 5'-leader elements of precursor-tRNAs. Cellular RNase Ps are ribonucleoproteins. The record is from RNAcentral. Lineage: Bacteria; Bacillati; Mycoplasmatota; Mollicutes; Acholeplasmatales; Acholeplasmataceae.
AAUGGAAGGUGACCGAGCUUAAACGUCGUUUAGGUUAGGAAAGUCCAUGCUAGUACUAGCUGCGAUGCUAGUAGUGAUUGUGCUUGAGGAAACAAUAACUCAAGGUACUACAUUUAGUAGUAACGGCGGAUCUUUUAACCCUCGUGGUUAAAAGCCAUAAAGUGCCACAGAGACUAAACUAACAGCAAUGUUAGAGUGAAAAGGGUAAACCCCGCAAACUAGCAACCCAAAUAUUGGUAGGGGCACAUUAAAGCGCGAAAUGAAGCGACUUUGAUGCUCAAAAGAGAGAUAAAUGGUCACACUACGAAAGUAGAACAGAACAUGGCUUAUGCAC